Molecule: ribosomal RNA, 429 nt
Filed under: Actinomycetes bacterium
Lineage: Bacteria; Bacillati; Actinomycetota; Actinomycetes
Description: Actinobacteria bacterium partial 16S ribosomal RNA
Rfam family: Bacterial small subunit ribosomal RNA
Source: RNAcentral
UAGGGAAUCUUCCGCAAUGGGCGAAAGCCUGACGGAGCAACGCCGCGUGAGUGAUGAAGGUCUUCGGAUCGUAAAACUCUGUUAUUAGGGAAGAACAAAUGUGUAAGUAACUAUGCACGUCUUGACGGUACCUAAUCAGAAAGCCACGGCUAACUACGUGCCAGCAGCCGCGGUAAUACGUAGGUGGCAAGCGUUAUCCGGAAUUAUUGGGCGUAAAGCGCGCGUAGGCGGUUUUUUAAGUCUGAUGUGAAAGCCCACGGCUCAACCGUGGAGGGUCAUUGGAAACUGGAAAACUUGAGUGCAGAAGAGGAAGGUGGAAUUCCAUGUGUAGCGGUGAAAUGCGCAGAGAUAUGGGGGAACACCAGUGGCGAAGGCGACUUUCUGGUCUGUAACUGACGCUGAUGUGCGAAAGCGUGGGGAUCAAACAGG